CCUACGGGAUGCAGCAGUGAGGAAUAUUGGUCAAUGGACGAGCGUCUGAACCAGCCAAGUAGCGUGAAGGAUGACUGCCCUAUGUGUUGUAAACUUCUUUUAUAUGGGAAUAAAAUGUUGCAAGUGUGGGAUUUUGUUUGUACCAUAUGAAUAAGUAUCGGCUAACUCCGUGCCAGCAGCCGCGGUAAUACGGAGGAUCCGAGCGUUAUCCGGAUUUAUUGGGUUUACAUGGGGCGUAGGCGGUUUGUUAAGUCAGUUGUGAAAGUUUGGGGCUCAAACGUAGAAUGGCAGUUGAAACUGGCAGUCUUGAGUACAGUAGAGGUGGGCGGAAUGCGUGGUGUAGCGGUGAAAUGCUUAGAUAUCACGAAGAACUCCGAUUGCGAAGGCAGCUCACUGGACUGCAACUGACACUGAGGCUCGAAAGUGUGGGUAUCAAACAGGAUUAGAUACCCUUGUAGUC
RNAcentral lists this ribosomal RNA (460 nucleotides) under uncultured bacterium. RNAcentral's name for it is "partial 16S ribosomal RNA". It matches the Rfam family "Bacterial small subunit ribosomal RNA", at positions 338 to 795 of the family's 1533-position model. The record is from RNAcentral.